AGAGGUGGCGAGCGUUAUUCGGAAUUAUUGGGCGUAAAGGGCGCGUAGGCGGCCAAGCAAGUCCUGGGUGAAAUCCCUCGGCUCAACCGAGGAACUGCCUCGGAAACUGCAUGGCUCGAGGCCGGGAGAGGGUGGCGGAAUUCCCAGUGUAGCGGUGAAAUGCGUAGAUAUUGGGAGGAACACCGGUGGCGAAGGCGGCCACCUGGACCGGUUCUGACGCUGAUGCGCGAAAGCGUGGGGAGCAAACAGGAUUAGAUACCCUGGUAGUCCACGCUGUAAACGAUGGGUGCUCGGUGUCGCGGGUAUCGACCCCUGCGGUGCCUUAGCUAACGCGUUAAGCACCCCGCCUGGGGAGUACGGUCGCAAGGCUGAA
RNAcentral lists this ribosomal RNA (373 nucleotides) under uncultured bacterium. RNAcentral's name for it is "bacterial SSU rRNA". It matches the Rfam family "Bacterial small subunit ribosomal RNA", at positions 527 to 898 of the family's 1533-position model. The record is from RNAcentral.